This 308-nucleotide ribosomal RNA is filed under the name uncultured bacterium. RNAcentral's name for it is "partial 16S ribosomal RNA". It matches the Rfam family "Bacterial small subunit ribosomal RNA", at positions 505 to 807 of the family's 1533-position model. The record is from RNAcentral.
GAGACAGCAGCAUCCGCGGGAAUACAGAGGGUGCGAGCGUUAAUCGGAUUUACUGGGCGUAAAGCGUGCGUAGGCGGCUUCUUAAGUCGGAUGUGAAAUCCCUGAGCUUAACUUAGGAAUUGCAUUCGAUACUGGGAAGCUAGAGUAUGGGAGAGGAUGGUAGAAUUCCAGGUGUAGCGGUGAAAUGCGUAGAAAUCUGGAGGAAUACCGAUGGCGAAGGCAGCCAUCUGGCCUAAUACUGACGCUGAGGUACGAAAGCAUGGGGAGCAAACAGGAUUAGAUACCCCAGUAGUCCCUGUCUCUUAUAC